RNAcentral lists this long non-coding RNA (780 nucleotides) under Heterocephalus glaber (naked mole-rat). RNAcentral's name for it is "lncRNA (ENSHGLG00000045946.1)". Lineage: Eukaryota; Metazoa; Chordata; Mammalia; Rodentia; Bathyergidae. The record is from RNAcentral.
AGAGGUGGUGUGAAUGCCUCCCUCCCGGAGUUGCCAUGAGGAUUUCAUGAAGCGAGUCAGAGGAAGCAGCUGGCUUUUUUCAUGGCAGCCACAGAAGAGACAAGGAUUAAGUGGUGGAGCUGGAAAGCCCGAAUUUUAGAAAAGUCCAAGGGAGUCGGGUGUGUUGGCACACCCCUGUCAUCCUAGCGCUCUGGGAGGCUGAGGCAGGAGGACAGAAGUUCAAGCCCAGCCUCAAUGACUUAGGACAGCCACAGGCGGAUCGCAGGUGACUUGCUGGUCCUUAAAGCAGUGCUUCCCAAAGCACUCAAGUCCACACUGCUGGGCCUGCAGACUUCUCCAGGCCCCAAGAGGUGCUGGUUCAAGCCCCAACCCCUCUGAGGCCUCUCUGCGCCGGCUCCCUCUGCCUGGCCUGGUGCCUGGGCCCAGGGCCCCCCCACCCCCAUCCACGCUGUUUGCAUUCCUGGGCCCUGCGUCACCACGGACAGUGGGCGUGUCUGCAGGGCCCGCCACCCCUAGCUGCUGGCGUCCUGGGCUGGGCUGGGUGGCCACGCCAGCUCACUCCGAAGGAGGCCCGUGACUCACACUUCCUCCCGGAUUCCGGGAAAUGCCCUCCCCUGCCCUGCUCCGCUUUCUUCUGCUUUAAUGAGAUGUUCUCUGCGAAUUCCAUGGCAACCCCAGGACAGGGGGGCUGGGAGGGGGAGGCCAAGCACAUGCCCAGGAGGGGCCCAAGGGCUCCCAUGGCACUUGUGUGCACACGCACUCCCACCCUCUUGGCAGCCC